GGGCUGUGCUCAGAGCAGGGGGCUGAAGAAAUGGCUCUUCUGUUUACAACGCACCCAACAGGAACCUGGGUUCCUUGUGACAAGUGGCACAAAACUUGUGGUUUUCCUAUGGACAGAUGCCCUACAUGU
Molecule: small nucleolar RNA, 129 nt
Filed under: Suricata suricatta (meerkat)
Lineage: Eukaryota; Metazoa; Chordata; Mammalia; Carnivora; Herpestidae
Description: Small nucleolar RNA SNORA11 (ENSSSUG00005018639.1)
Rfam family: Small nucleolar RNA SNORA11
About the family: U107 (SNORA11) is a member of the H/ACA class of snoRNAs that guide the sites of modification of uridines to pseudouridines. This snoRNA was identified by RT-PCR from blood cells and its expression confirmed by Northern blot analysis.
Source: Rfam by way of RNAcentral